UGUUUGCUUAUGAAUUAUUUUUUUUAAAGUUUUAAUUUUUCGAUGCUCACCAUACUUUUUUUUUAGGUAUUUUAUAUUAUUUUUACUUGUUAGGUAAUUUCAUUACAACUUUCAAUAGUAUAUCGAGUGUAUGACUCAUGAAAAUGAAUAUUGCUGUUUUGUUCUACAUAACAUCUUCAAUUAUUAGAAUACUCAAUUUUUUAGAAACCAAUGGAUCUGAACAAAUAAUAGUUAUAUUCUCAAUACACCAUCACUCUGUUUUACGGAUAUUUGAAGACUCAUAAUGUAUAAAUGAAGAUUCAUGCUUUAUUGUAUUGAUAACUGAGGGUGAAUCAAUAUUAUUUGGAUAUAAAAAAAUGUAGCAGCUAGUCCAUAUAUCCGAGCUGCGUCUAACAGUUUUGAGAACAGCAACAAUUCAAAUCUUGUUAAUAUGAGUUAGAUUCCACCAUUUUACUAAUACUUUAAGUUUAUAUAUUUUUACUGGCAAAUUUAUGGUCACCAACGAAAAUGUACAGUUGGACUAUAAAAGUGGUAUAUGUGGAGAGAAUUUACUAACACAAACGGAUACAUCAAAUUAUCUUUGUAUAAAAUCAUUUGCCAACUUACAUAAUUGUAUGGAGUUCUCCCAAGUUUUGAAGCAUUCGUCAAUAAACAGUUUUUAGAAACGGUUAAAGAUGAUGUGUUCUUAUCAUUAUCUUGUGAAAAAUGUGUUGAGAUUACUUUCUAUGGUGACUUUGCUGUUCCAUUUGAGGAAAAAAAGUCAAUUCAGCACUUCCCCAUUCCAAAUAUAAUUCGGUGUAGAGGUUUUUGAUGUCAGUGUUCAAAAAUGGGUAGCUAGUAUGACUACAGAAGUGAUUUGUGUGUGUUAUGUAUACUAUCAGUGAUAAUAGCUAACAGUAUUGAGGCCUGUAAACUAAUGAUGGAGUAUGAUCUUUUAUUGCUAAUAUAUAUUCCUCGAUAAAUACCUGGAGUCGACAGUCAGAUGAAUUGUAUGUGAUUGAUGGAGAAAUAACAAAAUCUGAAUAAAAAUGGGUAACUAGUCAUACUACAGAAGUCAUUUGCAUGUGGGUAUACUCAAUAAUCGAUCGUUCAUAUGAGAUAGGAGUUUUUUUCAAAAUAUCUGAAGUCUGUCGAACGUUAUGAUUCCACACAUGAACUACUUAAUUGAA
RNAcentral lists this long non-coding RNA (1169 nucleotides) under Acyrthosiphon pisum (pea aphid). RNAcentral's name for it is "uncharacterized LOC100568820, transcript variant X4". Lineage: Eukaryota; Metazoa; Arthropoda; Insecta; Hemiptera; Aphididae. The record is from RNAcentral.